This 29-nucleotide non-coding RNA is filed under the name Rattus norvegicus (Norway rat). Lineage: Eukaryota; Metazoa; Chordata; Mammalia; Rodentia; Muridae. The record is from RNAcentral.
UACCUGAGUAAAGCAGACGCCCGUCGUGA